AGAGCGAACGCUGGCGGCAGGCCUAACACAUGCAAGUCGAGCGCCCCGCAAGGGGAGCGGCAGACGGGAGAGUAACACGUGGGAACGUACCCUUCAGUUCGGAACAACCCAGGGAAACUUGGGCUAAUACCGAAUACGUCCGUAAGGAGAAAGAUUUAUCGCUGAAGGAUCGGCCCGCGUCUGAUUAGCUAGUUGGUGAGGUAACGGCUCACCAAGGCUACGAUCAGUAGCUGGCCUGAGAGGAUGAUCAGCCUCACUGGGACUGAGACACGGCCCAGACUCCUACGGGAGGCAGCAGUGGGGAAUAUUGGACAAUGGGCGCAAGCCUGAUCCAGCCAUGCCGCGUGGAUGAUGAAGGCCUUAGGGUUGUAAAGUCCUUUCGACGGGGAAGAUAAUGACGGUACCCGUAGAAGAAGCCCCGGCUAACUUCGUGCCAGCAGCCGC
Molecule: ribosomal RNA, 444 nt
Filed under: uncultured bacterium
Lineage: Bacteria
Description: SSU rRNA
Rfam family: Bacterial small subunit ribosomal RNA
Source: RNAcentral